CUUCUUCAGUAAUCCGUGAAAUAUUGCCAUAGAAUCUUUAUUCAUUUGUUUCCUAAUACAUUAAAAGCAAAAAUGUGGUAGCCUUCCAAAUCCAAAUCAACACCCCUUAACGGCUAUGAUUGACCCCUAACAACCGCAAACUGACAGAAGGAGAAAAUCAAUAACAAUCCCGACCCAGAUUUGAAGGCUUGAAGCUAAAGGUCUGAAUUCUUGGUGGGCUCUCGUCCAUUCAGACACGUACAGAGAGAUUGUGUGUGGUGUUUCCCUUUUUUCUUUUUCGGACAUGAGCCUUCUCCGAAGAUUUUCCCCUCAAGUUCAAUUAUUUACAAAAAGGUCCUUCAAAUCUCUGAAAUUUCCUGGUGAAUCUCUGAAUGAAAUCACCUCUCCUUCUCUCAUCCAUGGCAUUCACGUUUUCCAUUGUCCAGAUGUGGUGGGAAUUGUGGCAAAGUUGGCGGAAUGCAUAGCUUCAAGAGGUGGCAAUAUUCUCAGCGCUGAUGUUUUCGUGCCGGAGAAAAAAAAUGUCUUUUACUCAAGAAGUGAAUUUGUCUUUGAUCCUGCUAAAUGGACGCGGAUACAAAUGGACGAGGAUUUUUUAAAGCUAUCAAAGAUGUUCGAUGCCAUGAGAUCUGUUGUUCGGGUACCCAGCCUAGACCCCAAAUAUAAGAUUGCAGUCCUUGCUUCAAACCAGGACCACUGCCUUGUUGAUUUGUUGCAUGUUUGGCAGGAUGGAAAACUUCCAGUUCAAAUCACUGCCAUAAUAAGCAAUCAUGACAGAGGUCCGAACACACAUGUGAUGAGAUUUCUUGAAAGACAUAGAAUUCCUUACCAUUUUCUGCCCACAACUAUAGAGGACAAAAGAGAAGAAGAGAUCUUGAAUUUGGUUCGGGAUACAGAUUUUCUAGUACUUGCUAGAUACAUGCAGUUUAUUGAUGCAGGUACUCUCCGGAAAUUUUCUAAGUAGUUACGGGAAGGAUAUAAUAAAUAUUCACCAUGGCCUGUUGCCCUCUUUCAAGGGUGGGAAUCCAUCUAAGCAGGCCUUUGAUUAUGGAGUGAAAUUGAUCGGUGCUACAACUCACUUUGUCACUGAAGAACUUGAUACUGGGCCAAUUAUCGAGCAGAUGGUCGAGAGAGUUUCCCACAGGGACAAUUUGCGGAGUUUUAUACGGAAAUCUGAGGACCUCGAGAAGCAGUGCCUUGCAAAAGCUAUAAAGUCAUACUGUGAGCUACGAGUUCUACCUUAUGAACGGAACAAGACUGUUGUAUUUUGAGAAUUGUUAUAUCACAGGAUCAAUUGCAUUCAUUUCAUCCAAAUUCACGUACUCUUACUCUGACCUGGUCACGUGAAUUUCAUUGCAUGUAUAAUAUACAAAAAUUAACUUCAGCAUUUUUUCCUUCUGAUACCUGAAAUGAUUUGUGGUUAACAAUUUAAAGCAAAGAGUAGGAAAGAGGAUAAUUUGAUUCAUUGAUCAUGGAUCUUUUAGUUUCUCUAAACUCUCUCUAUUUUGAUGGAUAUUUGGACGUGGAUUGAAUAAUCUGUUGAGUUUAUUUU
This is an RNA transcript of Olea europaea var. sylvestris, 1549 nucleotides long. It is a transcript of the gene named formyltetrahydrofolate deformylase 2, mitochondrial-like, with no coding region annotated. The record is from RefSeq and is a predicted model, not a curated record. The transcript has 8 exons. Lineage: Eukaryota; Viridiplantae; Streptophyta; Magnoliopsida; Lamiales; Oleaceae.